CCAGCAAUUAGACAUUUAUAUAACUUCAGUAAUUACAUUUGCAGAAACUUCUAUGGGCAUUUCUUUGCAAGGCGCUGGUUCGUUUCAGCAAAAAUAUCAUCAGACCGUCUAUGAUAUGGGGUGUUCAAGCCGUGGCUUUUAAAUGACACAAUAUUCAGUUUAACGUCACUAGGUAGAAUAUAUAAUAAAUAUUUAAACAUCUUACACUCAUUUACCGAAAAAAUUAUCUAAGAGAGAAAAUAUUAUCACGAACAAUCCGGUGGAGAAUAUCUGAAGCACUUUGAAAACGAUAUAAGAACAGAAGAGGAGCAAGUAACAGGGAUAAUAAAAAAGCGAAUGGCCAUGUUGGAUAUUUUGAUAGCGGAAUCCUUCAACGGCGGACUGAGUGACUUAGACAUCAGAGAAGAAGUUGAUACUUUCAUAUUCAAAGUAAAUGUUUCAAUUUCGUUAAAUUACUUAAAAUAA
RNA transcript from Dinoponera quadriceps, 465 nucleotides. It is a transcript of the gene named cytochrome P450 4C1-like, with no coding region annotated. Lineage: Eukaryota; Metazoa; Arthropoda; Insecta; Hymenoptera; Formicidae. The transcript is spliced from 4 exons. The record is from RefSeq and is a predicted model, not a curated record.